Molecule: small nuclear RNA, 106 nt
Filed under: Chinchilla lanigera (long-tailed chinchilla)
Lineage: Eukaryota; Metazoa; Chordata; Mammalia; Rodentia; Chinchillidae
Source: RNAcentral
GUGCUUGCUUUGGCAGCGUGUGUACCAAAGGGAAAUGAUGCAGAGAAGAUAAGCAUGAUCCCCAGGCAGUGAUGACAUGCAAAUUCAGGAAGUGUUUCACAUUUUA